CCGGCGAUGUCCGAAUGGGGAAACCCAGUGCAAUUCGUUGCACUAUCGUUAACUGAAUACAUAGGUUAACGAGGCGAACCGGGGGAACUGAAACAUCUAAGUACCCCGAGGAAAAGAAAUCAACCGAGAUUCCCCCAGUAGCGGCGAGCGAACGGGGAGCAGCCCAGAGUCUGAAUCAGCUUGUGUGUUAGUGGAACGGUCUGGAAAGUCCGACGGUACAGGGUGAUAGUCCCGUACACCAAAAUGCACAGGUUGUGAACUCGAAGAGUAGGGCGGGACACGUGGUAUCCUGUCUGAAUAUGGGGGGACCAUCCUCCAAGGCUAAAUACUCCUGACUGACCGAUAGUGAACCAGUACCGUGAGGGAAAGGCGAAAAGAACCCCGGCGAGGGGAGUGAAAAAGAACCUGAAACCGUGUACGUACAAGCAGUGGGAGCACCUUCGGGUGUGACUGCGUACCUUUUGUAUAAUGGGUCAGCGACUUAUAUUCUGUAGCAAGGUUAACCGUAUAGGGGAGCCGCAGGGAAACCGAGUCUUAACUGGGCGUUAAGUUGCAGGGUAUAGACCCGAAACCCGGUGAUCUAGCCAUGGGCAGGUUGAAGGUUGGGUAACACUAACUGGAGGACCGAACCGACUAAUGUUGAAAAAUUAGCGGAUGACUUGUGGCUGGGGGUGAAAGGCCAAUCAAACCGGGAGAUAGCUGGUUCUCCCCGAAAGCUAUUUAGGUAGCGCCUCGUGAACUCAUCUUCGGGGGUAGAGCACUGUUUCGGCUAGGGGGUCAUCCCGACUUACCAACCCGAUGCAAACUACGAAUACCGAAGAAUGUUAUCACGGGAGACACACGGCGGGUGCUAACGUCCGUCGUGAAGAGGGAAACAACCCAGACCGCCAGCUAAGGUCCCAAAGUCAUGGUUAAGUGGGAAACGAUGUGGGAAGGCACAGACAGCCAGGAUGUUGGCUUAGAAGCAGCCAUCAUUUAAAGAAAGCGUAAUAGCUCACUGGUCGAGUCGGCCUGCGCGGAAGAUGUAACGGGGCUAAACCAUGCACCGAAGCUGCGGCAGCGACACUAUGUGUUGUUGGGUAGGGGAGCGUUCUGUAAGCCUGCGAAGGUGACCUGUGAGGGUUGCUGGAGGUAUCAGAAGUGCGAAUGCUGACAUAAGUAACGAUAAAGCGGGUGAAAAGCCCGCUCGCCGGAAGACCAAGGGUUCCUGUCCAACGUUAAUCGGGGCAGGGUGAGUCGACCCCUAAGGCGAGGCCGAAAGGCGUAGUCGAUGGGAAACAGGUUAAUAUUCCUGUACUUGGUGUUACUGCGAAGGGGGGACGGAGAAGGCUAUGUUAGCCGGGCGACGGUUGUCCCGGUUUAAGCAUGUAGGCUGGUUGUCCAGGCAAAUCCGGAUAAUCAAGGCUGAGGUGUGAUGACGAGGCACUACGGUGCUGAAGUAACAAAUGCCCUGCUUCCAGGAAAAGCCUCUAAGCAUCAGGUAACAUCAAAUCGUACCCCAAACCGACACAGGUGGUCAGGUAGAGAAUACCAAGGCGCUUGAGAGAACUCGGGUGAAGGAACUAGGCAAAAUGGUGCCGUAACUUCGGGAGAAGGCACGCUGGUGUGUAGGUGAAGUCCCUGCGGAUGGAGCUGAGACCAGUCGAAGAUACCAGCUGGCUGCAACUGUUUAUUAAAAACACAGCACUGUGCAAACACGAAAGUGGACGUAUACGGUGUGACGCCUGCCCGGUGCCGGAAGGUUAAUUGAUGGGGUUAUCCGUAAGGAGAAGCUCUUGAUCGAAGCCCCGGUAAACGGCGGCCGUAACUAUAACGGUCCUAAGGUAGCGAAAUUCCUUGUCGGGUAAGUUCCGACCUGCACGAAUGGCGUAAUGAUGGCCAGGCUGUCUCCACCCGAGACUCAGUGAAAUUGAACUCGCUGUGAAGAUGCAGUGUACCCGCGGCAAGACGGAAAGACCCCGUGAACCUUUACUAUAGCUUGACACUGAACAUUGAGCCUUGAUGUGUAGGAUAGGUGGGAGGCUUUGAAGCGUGGACGCCAGUCUGCGUGGAGCCAACCUUGAAAUACCACCCUUUAAUGUUUGAUGUUCUAACGUUGGCCCCUUACCGGGGUUGCGGACAGUGUCUGGUGGGUAGUUUGACUGGGGCGGUCUCCUCCCAAAGCGUAACGGAGGAGCACGAAGGUUAGCUAAUCCUGGUCGGACAUCAGGAGGUUAGUGCAAUGGCAUAAGCUAGCUUGACUGCGAGCGUGACGGCGCGAGCAGGUGCGAAAGCAGGUCAUAGUGAUCCGGUGGUUCUGAAUGGAAGGGCCAUCGCUCAACGGAUAAAAGGUACUCCGGGGAUAACAGGCUGAUACCGCCCAAGAGUUCAUAUCGACGGCGGUGUUUGGCACCUCGAUGUCGGCUCAUCACAUCCUGGGGCUGAAGUAGGUCCCAAGGGUAUGGCUGUUCGCCAUUUAAAGUGGUACGCGAGCUGGGUUUAGAACGUCGUGAGACAGUUCGGUCCCUAUCUGCCGUGGGCGCUGGAGAAUUGAGGGGGGCUGCUCCUAGUACGAGAGGACCGGAGUGGACGCAUCACUGGUGUUCGGGUUGUCAUGCCAAUGGCACUGCCCGGUAGCUAAAUGCGGAAGAGAUAAGUGCUGAAAGCAUCUAAGCACGAAACUUGCCCCGAGAUGAGUUCUCCCUGAGACUUUAAGUCUCCUGAAGGAACGUUAAAGACGAUGACGUUGAUAGGCCGGGUGUGUAAGCGCAGCGAUGCGUUGAGCUAACCGGUACUAAUGAACCGUGAGGCUUAACCUUACAACGCCGAAG
This 2810-nucleotide ribosomal RNA is filed under the name Klebsiella pneumoniae. RNAcentral's name for it is "partial 23S ribosomal RNA". It matches the Rfam family "Bacterial large subunit ribosomal RNA". The record is from RNAcentral. Lineage: Bacteria; Pseudomonadati; Pseudomonadota; Gammaproteobacteria; Enterobacterales; Enterobacteriaceae.